GGUGGUGGAUUACAGGUCGAACGCAUGAAACACUCCACGGGCAAUGGGUGCGGGAGUGUGAGAUAAGAUAACGCCAAUUACACAGAUUACACCCAAUUGCAUUUGACAGCUCUCGCGCGCGUACUCCCCAAAAACUUCAAGCGAUGCAUUUCCUAUCUGCAUAUAUAUCGGUAUGUAGGCGUGUGCGUAUGUGUGCGCUCUCUUUGCUCUCAGCAUUAGAAUGCAACAGUAGCCAACAAUAACAACACUUCCCAUACCUAUACCAAUCAAUGCAAUCUCGCCACGUUGGGGGAUGACGAUGGUGAUGCUGCUGCUGAUGUUAGUACACUAUCCUGUCAUCACCGUCACGGGCAUUGCACUCUCGUCGUGCAGAGUGAAGCUUCAUGCAAUGAGGAAGCUGAAGAAGAGCAUAAAAAAGUUCGCAAUCAAAAUUGUUCGGUGCCGUAAAUCACCUCCCAAAUACACAACGGCAAAGCUAAUCUGCUUUAGUGCCUUCGGAUGAUUCCACCGCUCUGGCGAAAGAACAGGUUUCAAACAGGAUCGAACUUGUUUUUGGCUAGAGGGUGCGUUUAGAAGGGUGUAUCAUGUGUCUGGUAAGAAGCAAUAACAAAAAGUUUGACUGUUGCCUUGGGCAACAGAAGAACAGGAAUGGGAGGCAGGUUUAUGUUUUGUGGUGAAUUCGCUAAUCAUUUUUCUCGCUACCAGAUGACAGCCGUGAAAACUAGAUUGUCCAUCCCGACCAUCCUUCCCACGAUUAAGGUUCACUAAAUAAUUUCACCCAACAUUGACCGUUCGACCGACUUCCGAACAUUGGUGUAUGCAACAGCAGAAGAAAUACAACAGAAGGGGUGGAGUGGGUGGUCUUGUUCACAACACAACAAACAACACACACGAACGCACCUCUCACGGAAUGAACGAACACGCACGGCUCUACACGGCAGACACUUCCUCACGCUUCUGCUAUUCAACAAAUUCUGAGAAACUCGCAGCAAAAGAGCUAUGCUGUGUGCUAUGAGUAUGCUUAUGUACCGGACGGUUUGUACCGCUAUGUAUAUUUGGGGAUGGGAGGCUGUGUUUGUGCGUAGUACAAACACUACCGUAACGUAGCCUCAGUUGGACAGUUCUUGUAUUUUGGCUUAGAUCAAGUUUCCCACCCCUAAGAGCGAAAUAGUAUAUAAUUAUUUUGGUGUUCAGUAUACAAACACACGCAUUUAUACUUUUGGACGUGGUAAAGUUUGCAAAUUUGUGACUGCAAAUAAAAAUGGUGAGAAAAACCCUUGCAUAAGAAUUGAACCGCACGUGCUAAACUUAAUGCCUCUCUCUCUCUCUGCAUAUGUGUGAGUGAGUGCGUGGACAAAGGAAAACGUCAAAGUGAAUUUGGUUUGUUUACAUAUGCGUACGACAUGGAUGGGUUUUUCUUCGUCACUAAAACACUUUUUCGUAUCAUAUUAUGUGAAUAUUUAACGGUGCAAUGUCGACUGGCUGAGGGGAAAUGAACGACCAAUAGACGAACAUAUUGUUGUCGAAUAUGUAAGGCAAUGGCAUGAAGCGCAGGUAAUAGAAAUAGUACGACAAGAAAAACACAUUUUUGCAUACGUUGUCGGCCUUGAAGCUUUAUUUGGUGUUGCAAAACAAAAACAAAACGUUCGAAUGAUGAAAUCUCUUCAACCAGUUACAGUUUAGCAAACAAAAUACCAGCCCAUUCUUCUGGGUUCCAGUUCCAUCUGAGAUAAAAACAAAAAGGAAAAAAAACCGUAACAAAGAAAAACCAAAAACAAGCCACGAUCGUCGUUGAAAACAGUUCGAUGAUCUAUUUCAAGGAGUGUUUGUCAUUAUCGCGCGAUACGAUCAGUUGUGCAAGCAACUCUUCACCAUGAAAGCAACACAUUGGUAUCCGGUCAUCAUUUCAGCUGUACUCAUUUGUGUAAAAUUUGUAUGCAAAAUGUAAUCUGUAGCUCAUAUUUCGUACCCUUUUUUGGUUUGGUCUGUUGUUUUUUGGGUGUUUUUUUUGCUUUCGCCAUAUUUAUCGAGGCUUGUUUUGGGCGUGGGUAAUCGUGUAAGGAACAGUGCCUGUAUAUAUCAAAGAAAUAGAGAAAAUAAUUAACUCCUACUCAAUAUUGGAACCAUAUCAUUGACAACACAGUGUAAACGAGUUUUUAAAAUUCUUGUAUUCCAACACAUUUCCUUGUUGUUCUUUAUUUCGCUGGACGUAUAAUCGAUCGAUUAGACUACAUUACACUUAACA
Molecule: long non-coding RNA, 2245 nt
Organism: Anopheles funestus (African malaria mosquito)
Lineage: Eukaryota; Metazoa; Arthropoda; Insecta; Diptera; Culicidae
Exons: 3
Source: RefSeq, a predicted model, not a curated record